Molecule: long non-coding RNA, 1778 nt
Organism: Prionailurus viverrinus (fishing cat)
Lineage: Eukaryota; Metazoa; Chordata; Mammalia; Carnivora; Felidae
Exons: 3
Source: RefSeq, a predicted model, not a curated record
CGCAAACUGCAGGGACGGGGAGCGGGGACAGGGGGUGAAAUGGAGCACCCUGAGGUUCGCCCCCAAGUUCGGCGGGUGCCGGUCUCUAAUCCACACGCUGGUGGAGAGGCCGGCUCGUCAGGGACAAGCGCACACCCAGACCUCAUGCCUAAUACCUUGAGCGCGAUCCAGCGCUGGAUCACUGCAGCCGCCACCUCCUGCUGCUCCUUCAGCCUCCGGCCCUGCGAGAACCAAGCCUCAGACUUCCAGCCUGGAGCCCACCGCGUCCCCUGACCUCGGGCUGCUGGGAUUCAUCUCGCGGGACCCCCGGCCUCUGACCUUGUACUUCCGGAAGGCCGUCUGGAUGACUCGAGCCGCCUCGUACAGCUCCCGCUGCUCGUGAUCCGACAGCGUUAGCAGGGCGAAGUCGCUCUCCAUCUUGCCGCUGGCAGAAGCGGACAGAAACUCUGCCCAGGAAGGGGCGGGAGGGACGGCCAGGCGACCACGCUCGAAGGGCAGUUCGCUGCAGGGACAGGGAGAGGGGGUGUCCUGGGGCCCACCAUGAAGCGUGUCCAGCCACAGAGCCCGGAGGGGGACUUGAGAGCCCCUCAGCCGGUACCAGUCUCUUCCUCGGGGGCUGGGGCCCCGGGCCAGAACGGAGCACUGGCUCCAGGGAAGGACCUCCCGCUCCCUGCUUGCCCUGACGAAUCUGGACAUGCUGUCCUGAGCUGGUCACCUGGGCGGGGCUGAGCUGGGGAAAUGGUCCACGUUCUCCAGGUAGCUGGCCAGCCAGGACAUGGUCUCGCUGAGCCCCAGGGCCCCUGUCCGCUCCCUCAUUGGUGCUCCAGCCUCGGGCAGCCCCGUGAAGUCCUCUCGUUUAAUCCGCUCUGGUGUGGCGUCAAUGAUCUGCUUGGCCAGUGAGAUCAUGUCCACCUGCACAGAGGAGACGCUCGGUGAGUCGGGAGCAGUCCCAGCCGCCAGACAUUCCUGCCCCGCCAAGGCCGUCACCAUCGUCCACUUGCUGUCUUGUCAUUCCCCUCACCACCAGACAGGCCUCGGGGAUGGCUGUCCCUGCUCCCCAGUCCUUCUCGGCCACUAUUUACAUAUGCCUGCCAGGCUCCCACUUGAGUUUAUGGCCCUGUGUUGAGACGGCGUGGAAAACGGGACGGGAUAGACCUCCUCCGAACAGCGUGGCAGGAGUGGAACAAAUGAAGGACCUGCCCUUCCAGGCCAACUGCCCGCUGGCCCCCCUGCCUCAUGCCAGCUGACCAACUUGUGCUCCCCACAGGCUCGGCCGUGCCUGCAGCCCCCAGCCCCCUGAGCUCGGUGCCUGCCACCUACCGGACACCCUGCCAGAUGGCUCUAGCUGUGAAGCCGGCGCACUGCCAACUUCAAGCAUUUUGUGCUUCUAGUACUAGGUACCCAGUUAGUCCGUUGGCCUCUCCGAGAUGGGUACCUCCCCAGGUCUUAGCAGAGAAGUGCGCUGCUAGGUUAGAAGAUUCAUUCCUCUGUUCACUCCCGUCUCAAGACUCGCUUCACUUUUGUCCCGUGCAAGCCUCGUCCCCACCCCAGAUCUCUGCCAGACCCGCCAGCUUGUCAGCCUCUGCUCCACACAGCACCCGCUUCCCUCCGUCAGGCUGCUUCCCCCAAAACCUCAUCUCUGCACGGACCAGCAGCUCUUCCAGGCAGCGGGCGAGGCGCACGUGGCCCCGGGACUGUGCCACGGACAGGGGCAGCCGGCCCAGUGAGUCGGGAAUGCUCAGCGCCUGUCUGUUCCAGCGGAAGAGGAGCACGGCGGC